AUGGCGACCGGCGCACGGGUGAGUAACACGUAUCCAACCUGCCGAUAACUCCGGAAUAGCCUUUCGAAAGAAAGAUUAAUACCGGAUGGCAUACGAAUAUCGCAUGAUAUUUUAUUAAAGAAUUUCGGUUAUCGAUGGGGAUGCGUUUCAUUAGUUUGUUGGCGGGGUAACGGCCCACCAAGACUACGAUGGAUAGGGGUUCUGAGAGGAAGGUCCCCCACAUUGGAACUGAGACACGGUCCAAACUCCUACGGGAGGCAGCAUG
This 265-nucleotide ribosomal RNA is filed under the name uncultured bacterium. Its description in RNAcentral is "partial 16S ribosomal RNA". It matches the Rfam family "Bacterial small subunit ribosomal RNA", at positions 88 to 353 of the family's 1533-position model. The record is from RNAcentral.